Molecule: ribosomal RNA, 794 nt
Filed under: Streptomyces sp.
Lineage: Bacteria; Bacillati; Actinomycetota; Actinomycetes; Kitasatosporales; Streptomycetaceae
Description: bacterial SSU rRNA
Rfam family: Bacterial small subunit ribosomal RNA
Source: RNAcentral
CGAUGAACCUCCUUCGGGAGGGGAUUAGUGGCGAACGGGUGAGUAACACGUGGGCAAUCUGCCCUGCACUCUGGGACAAGCCCUGGAAACGGGGUCUAAUACCGGAUACUGAUCAUCUUGGGCAUCCUGGAUGAUCGAAAGCUCCGGCGGUGCAGGAUGAGCCCGCGGCCUAUCAGCUUGUUGGUGAGGUAACGGCUCACCAAGGCGACGACGGGUAGCCGGCCUGAGAGGGCGACCGGCCACACUGGGACUGAGACACGGCCCAGACUCCUACGGGAGGCAGCAGUGGGGAAUAUUGCACAAUGGGCGCAAGCCUGAUGCAGCGACGCCGCGUGAGGGAUGACGGCCUUCGGGUUGUAAACCUCUUUCAGCAGGGAAGAAGCGCAAGUGACGGUACCUGCAGAAGAAGCGCCGGCUAACUACGUGCCAGCAGCCGCGGUAAUACGUAGGGCGCGAGCGUUGUCCGGAAUUAUUGGGCGUAAAGAGCUCGUAGGCGGCUUGUCGCGUCGGUUGUGAAAGCCCGGGGCUUAACCCCGGGUCUGCAGUCGAUACGGGCAGGCUAGAGUUCGGUAGGGGAGAUCGGAAUUCCUGGUGUAGCGGUGAAAUGCGCAGAUAUCAGGAGGAACACCGGUGGCGAAGGCGGAUCUCUGGGCCGAUACUGACGCUGAGGAGCGAAAGCGUGGGGAGCGAACAGGAUUAGAUACCCUGGUAGUCCACGCCGUAAACGGUGGGCACUAGGUGUGGGCAACAUUCCACGUUGUCCGUGCCGCAGCUAACGCAUUAAGUGCCCCGCC